Molecule: RNA transcript, 2749 nt
Organism: Panicum virgatum (switchgrass)
Lineage: Eukaryota; Viridiplantae; Streptophyta; Magnoliopsida; Poales; Poaceae
Gene name: leucine-rich repeat extensin-like protein 3
Exons: 3
Source: RefSeq, a predicted model, not a curated record
GACGCGGAACGAUCACUUUCGUCAGUCGUCGCCCUUUCCUCGCCCACUCCAGCUGAACCAGUGCCAAAACCACGAGCCCUCACAAAACCAGAGCAGGUCGCUGCUCCGCCGCCGCGCCAUGGCUUCGCCGUCACCCUCCUCGCCGCUCCACCCGCACCAGCACCAGCACCAGCACCCCCUUCCUCCGAAUGCUCACCCCCAAUUCCAAGCCCCGCCGCCUUCGAUGCCGCCGCCGCCGCCAGCGGCGCCACCCAAGGCGCUCGAUCUGGAGGUCACCGUCGUUUCCGGGAAGCACCUGAAGAACGUCAACUGGCGACGCGGUGACCUCCGCGCCUACGUCGUCGCCUACCUCGACCCCUCCCGCCGCGCCGCCACCCGCCCCGACGACGCCGGCGGGUGCAAGCCAGUCUGGAACGAGCGCCUCGUCCUCCCGCUCCCGCCCCACCUCUCACCGCACGAUCCCUCCAUCCUCCUGUCCCUCGACGUCUUCCACUCCAAGCCCUCCGACUCGCCCAAGCCGCUCGUCGGAUCCGCCCGCUCGCCUCUCCGCGACCUCCUCUUCCCCACAAACCCUAACCCUAGCCACGAUUCCGCGGCCUCCACUCUCGUCAGCCUGCCGCUCCUUCGCCCUUCAGGCCGUCCACAGGGAAAGCUCCGCAUCCGCGUUGCCAUCCGCGAGCGCUUGCCGCCGCUUCCUGAGCCGCAGUACCCGCUGCCUUCCAGCUCCCCAUACUACUUUCCACCGCCUCCGCCUCCCACCUACUCGGCCCCGCCGCAGUACGGAUCCGAACAGUAUUACCGUCCCAGUGGGUACUACUCAGCACCACUACCUCCGCCUCAGUAUGAGUACACCGGGGGACCCUCCGCACCGGUGGACUACAGCAGGCAGUAUGAGCAGAGAGGGAGGACCGGGGGCGGUGGUAGUGGGAGUGGGAGUGAGAGUGGAAGGUAUGGACUAGGCACUGGACUUGCGGUGGGUGCUGUGGCUGGAACCCUCGGGGGGCUAGCUAUCGAUGAAGGGGUGAAGUACAAGGAGGAGAAGGCUGCAGAGCGGGUGGAAGAGAAGGUGGUACCUGCUGGGAGGGAUGGUUACAGCGAGUAUCGUGGCGACUAUUGAAUGGGAGCUUGUGGUGGAGUGGACUUGAGGAUGCACUACGCAGCUACAUUGCUGGGGCAUAGGGUGCGACGAUGACAUCGUGGACCUCCUCAGCCGCCGGUUCAACCUCUCCUGCAUACCUCCUCCAUCUUCAUCCUCCAGCAGCCCAAGCUGGGAUGUCAUUAGGUUGGAGCAAUGCUGCAAGGCGUUUCUGUGUCAUGUUCCUCAAGAACAUGGUCAAGAAGCCCCCAAAUAUCUGAUCCUCUGGUUUGUUCAAAAUAGAUUUCUUCAUUUCGUCCUUCGUUCGUGCCUGGUAUAUGACAGAAGAACGAUAGAAAUGAGACAGAGUAAGAAAAAUGUAGAGUGUAUAUGCUAACAGGGUCUGAUCCUAUCGGUGCACAUGAAAUUGGUGACUGCAAGGUUAGGCAGAGGGAUGGUUCAGAGCUGCAGUCCUGUAGUAGGAGGAUGUUGCUUGAGCGCUUGCUAGGUGAGAAACAAUUUUGGCCUGAAUCCAAUUAUGGGCACGAAAAAAUAAUAUAAUAGCUUCAGUUAGAAAAGACUAAUGGGAAAAGAUGUUUUUUUUAGCAUUGUUGUAUCAUGUGAUUCUUUUGACACUGCAGGACAUGUAAGAACCAAAUAUUAUUCAUGGAAUUACUGACUCACCAUUCACUAAACUGCUUUGGUUAAAUGACUCUGCAAAGAUCAAUAUAUUCAUGAUUCUUUUCAGUACUUCUAAAGUGUGUUGAUGUUUUCAGUACUUCUUGCACUGAAGAACAGUCUUGGUUUUGGUUUAUUAUUAGGUUUUUUUCUUACCUUGCCUCCUCACCAUGACAACCUGUAAUUACUCUCCUGUCUUUGAGAAAGCAAAGCACCUGUUCCUAGAAAACGAUACUAUGUCUUUUACUAUUCCUAGAAGGUCCAAGAUUGACACUUCUGCUUUGUAGAAUUCUCUUUAUUUAAACAAAUAAAUAGUGCAUAUCAAACUCAGUAUAUAUGCAUGAGCAGAGUGCCACUGUAUCAAACUCUGAAUUUAGUAGAGAAAUAUUGAUUUGAGGGAAAUUGUGAUAUCUCUAGGUUGAACUUACAUUAAGCUUGGGCAAGCACCAAGUAUACAACCAGGUAUUCUGUCCCUGCAUCAAUGGCUGAGUUGCAGGAAUGAUUUGAUAGGAGACUAUUUUUUUGUUCAUUCUUUUUCCCCUUAUUAUACCUUUUGCUGAUAAGGUCAGUUUUUAUUUUUAUUUUUAGCAUGCUAAUCAUUUGUUGGUUGCUUAAUUCAGUUUGUACCUCCUUAAUUUAGUCCUUUUGCACCUCUGGUGGCACUUUUGGAUUCAUCGCUUCUGGCAUACAUGUUCAGAUCCUUCAAAUUCACCAUGUUAUUUUGGCUUGCAAACAACGGAACUGUUGUCCUGUGACCUAUAUUAUUUUGAGGGAUCUUUUUCUUCUCUUGAUCAUAGUUUGAUCCGUUGUCUUGUGACUUGUGAUUGGGCAUGCCAUGUGACAAUUGGUUUUGCCUAAAGAUAGUGAAUACAAGGACAUGUAGUGCACAGCGCACAUGGUUGCUGCUUGUGUCGGCUGUAGUUUAUAUCUUCCCUCUGUCAGGAACUUCUGUAAAGAUCUGGCUCACAGAAUUACUCUUAUGUUACUCUGUUUUUU